This 295-nucleotide ribosomal RNA is filed under the name Trieres chinensis. Its description in RNAcentral is "partial Bacterial large subunit ribosomal RNA". It matches the Rfam family "Bacterial large subunit ribosomal RNA", at positions 125 to 476 of the family's 2925-position model. The record is from RNAcentral. Lineage: Eukaryota; Bacillariophyta; Thalassiosirophyceae; Eupodiscales; Parodontellaceae.
AACCCGGCCGUAAGGUCAUCCGUACAUGAAUACAUAGUGUGCGGAAGCAAACCUGGUGAACUGAAAUAUCUAAGUAGCCAGAGGAAAGGACAUCAACCGAGACUCCGUUAGUAGUGACGAGCGAACGCGGAUCAGGCCAGUGGCCUAAGUGAGGAAACCGGAACCGUCUGGAAAGUCGGGCCGUAGCGGGUGAUAGCCCCGUACGGGUACAGCUUCAUUUAGGUCCUUGAGUAGGGCGGGGCACGUGAAACCCUGUCUGAACAUGGGGGGACCAUCCUCCAAGGCUAAAUACUCC